GCCGGUGUGGUUUGAGCACUAGACUAUGACUCCAGAGAUCAUGGUUCAAAUCCUUGCUCAGGUA
Molecule: transfer RNA, 64 nt
Filed under: Anolis carolinensis (green anole)
Lineage: Eukaryota; Metazoa; Chordata; Lepidosauria; Squamata; Anolidae
Rfam family: tRNA
About the family: Transfer RNA (tRNA) molecules are approximately 80 nucleotides in length. Their secondary structure includes four short double-helical elements and three loops (D, anti-codon, and T loops). Further hydrogen bonds mediate the characteristic L-shaped molecular structure. tRNAs have two regions of fundamental functional importance: the anti-codon, which is responsible for specific mRNA codon recognition, and the 3' end, to which the tRNAs corresponding amino acid is attached (by aminoacyl-tRNA synthetases). tRNAs cope with the degeneracy of the genetic code in two manners: having more than one tRNA (with a specific anti-codon) for a particular amino acid; and 'wobble' base-pairing, i.e. permitting non-standard base-pairing at the 3rd anti-codon position.
Source: Rfam by way of RNAcentral